Molecule: ribosomal RNA, 96 nt
Filed under: Sutterella sp.
Lineage: Bacteria; Pseudomonadati; Pseudomonadota; Betaproteobacteria; Burkholderiales; Sutterellaceae
Source: RNAcentral
CGGUCCCACUCCUUCCCAUUCCGAACAGGACAGUGAAACGCCUCUGCGCCGAUGAUAGUUGGUUGUAUUUCCAGUGAAAGUAGGUCAUCGCCAGGC